GACAGAGGGGGCAAGCGUUGCUCGGAAUCACUGGGCGUAAAGGGUGCGUAGGCGGCCUCUCAAGUCUGGCGUGAAAGCCCAGGGCUCAGCCCUGGAAGUGCUCUAGAAACUGAGAGGCUAGAGUGCCGGAGGGGAGACUGGAAUUUACGGUGUAGCGGUGAAAUGCGUAGAUAUCGUAAGGAAGACCAGUGGCGAAGGCGGGUCUCUGGACAGUUCCUGACGCUGAGGCGCGAAGGCCAGGGGAGCAAACGGG
Molecule: ribosomal RNA, 253 nt
Filed under: uncultured bacterium
Lineage: Bacteria
Description: partial 16S ribosomal RNA
Rfam family: Bacterial small subunit ribosomal RNA
Source: RNAcentral